Molecule: ribosomal RNA, 587 nt
Filed under: Xenophilus sp. Air180
Lineage: Bacteria; Pseudomonadati; Pseudomonadota; Betaproteobacteria; Burkholderiales; Comamonadaceae
Description: bacterial SSU rRNA
Rfam family: Bacterial small subunit ribosomal RNA
Source: RNAcentral
AGGUCUUCGGAUGCUGACGAGUGGCGAACGGGUGCAGUAUACAUCGGAACGUGCCCAAUCGUGGGGGAUAGCUCGGCGAAAGCCGGAUUAAUACCGCAUACGAUCUACGGAUGAAAGCAGGGGACUCGCAAGAGCCUUGCGCGAAUGGAGCGGCCGAUGGCAGAUUAGGUAGUUGGUGGGGUAAAGGCUCACCAAGCCGACGAUCUGUAGCUGGUCUGAGAGGACGACCAGCCACACUGGGACUGAGACACGGCCCAGACUCCUACGGGAGGCAGCAGUGGGGAAUUUUGGACAAUGGGCGAAAGCCUGAUCCAGCAAUGCCGCGUGCAGGAUGAAGGCCUUCGGGUUGUAAACUGCUUUUGUACGGAACGAAAAGGCUCUGGUUAAUACCUGGGGCUCAUGACGGUACCGUAAGAAUAAGCACCGGCUAACUACGUGCCAGCAGCCGCGGUAAUACGUAGGGUGCGAGCGUUAAUCGGAAUUACUGGGCGUAAAGCGUGCGCAGGCGGUGAUGUAAGACAGUUGUGAAAUCCCCGGGCUCAACCUGGGAACUGCAUCUGUGACUGCAUCGCUGGAGUGCGGCAGAG